GGUAAGAAACAAGGGGAUUUCAAAAAUUUUCCAACUUUUGUACUUUGGCAAGGAACCUGGUUUACACAUCAACCUGACAAUAGUUCAAUACUGUGUACCUAACCUAGUUGACAACUAUUCAUGAGUACAUGUAUAUAUGAUAAAUCACAUCCCUGAGACAUCCUGCCGCAUGAACUGGCCAGCAGCUCCCAGUAGAGAACAUAAAUAGCAUUGCAAGAGACAUAGGGCUCGAAUAAGAUAUGCAAAUAAGAUUGCUUUUAGGAUUUGCUGUCUCCAUAAAUUGCCAGCAUAAGUGUAUCUAUUGUGUUCUACUCACAAUUCCCAUUAGGCUUCCUAGGUAAGAUAACUUUUGCUGAAUAACUGUAGACCAGUAAGUUUUCCGUCUUCAAUUGCAGCACACUGACAGCAUGUGCAAAGAUGUUGAUCACAUAAACGUUAAAAGUUUACCUUUGCUUUUUUGUGGCUUCCAAUGAGGAGCAGCUUAUCUUCAAUAAGUGCACUAGUUAUUACCACCUGAAGGAUCAUGACAAUCAAACAAGUAAAUAAACUAGUGACUGCACAGGGGGAUCAUAUGACCCAAAACACUGAAUACUUCUCUUGGUUUAACUAUCAAUCAGAUAAGGGUCAAACCUUUCGCGGUCCAGCACUAUGUAGCGCAUUGCAAGCUUUCAAGCCAUCUUCUUCACAGGUAAUCCUAUCCACUAUAAAUAAUUAGCUCCCUGGUACUAGGUGACAAAUAAUAUAGAAGUCACAGAACGAGACUGGAUUUUCCCAUAAAAAUGGACCUUUCAGACCAAAUCAGCAGUAAGCAUAUUGACAAGCUUUGCUUCUGAAAAGAAUUUGUGUGAUAAUUGUGCUAAGAUAACUAGAUAAGUUUUUGUGGUAUAUGAACAUAACAAAGAAUUACUUGUUUUCUUUUUUACCAAAAGAAGAGCAUGACUACCUUAAACCAGUGAGUAGUUCAACUUCAAAUUGGUUAGGUGUAAGCAUUGUAGCAACUGGGACAACCUAAGGAUGAUUAGAUCACAAAAUGAAUGUAUUAGGAUAAGUAAUCAUAUAUGGGGGCAUGUGCAAGAAUUAGAGCAUGCUUAAGAAUCAUGAGAAAUAAAAUAACAUAUUUGAAAUGACAGACUCUGGCCUAGAGUUUUUCACUUGAUAACUAGAUCAGCAAAAGUGAACACAAGCUAAGAAGACCAACUUCUGAACACAAGGUGCACAGCUUGGGCUGCUUGGUCCUAACUUACUAACCAAUUCCUCUUUGCUCAGAGGGGUUCUAAAGUGUAAUCACUUGUUAAAGAGAUGUACUUUAACUGUUGCAUUCUAUUCCCUCAGUUCUUUUUAUGUGACGUUGGCUAGUCAAAUUUGAACUAGCCAGCAUCAUACAUAUAAAGAUGGAGGUGGUAUAACAAAAGGUAGCAAUUCAGUCAAGUGAAGGGAUUUGCUUAUAGAGGUUGCUCACACACCAUGUCGGAAAACAGUCAAAGCUUUCAUUUUUACAAUCAGCAGCUUUUACAUGCCCAAAUGCCCAACAAUAAGAAAUUUCCAGCAUUUUAUAUUUAGCGACUUGAAUGGAUUAAAUCACCUUCUGUUGAUAAACAGAUAUUAAAUCCUGAGGGACAUAUAGUUUCCCUUCAUCACCUAGAACCGGGUCACAAACUGCAGAACAUUAGCAAACAGAUAUCAGUCAUUCGUAAUCAGUCUUGAGCUAUGACACAAUUGCCCUAUAAAAUUUGGUAGAGACAAAACACCAUAGAGAAGAAUAGAUAAUGAAAGAUGAGAAAAGAUUACCAUAUACAAGAUCAGGAUUGACUGAUCGUAAUUUGUCAACAACUUGUAGUACAGUAGUUAAAAAGGAAACAGAUCCAAUAUAACCUGAAUACCAUAAACAUCAUGUUACUUUUUGUUAAAACACACAAACCUUAUUUGGCAGUACAAAGGAGAUGGCUAACCGGUAUGCAUGCCAUUGUGAUGAAAACAUCACCAGAAACAGGAGAGCUUUUUUUUUCUUUGACAAAGGAUGGGAAAGUGUAAAAUGAAGAAGAAGUCAUUCACCUGUUAAUAAAUGGGUAUAAUGCAAUAAAUCGUUUUCCGCCAGCCCUUCAAUAAGAUCCCACAGCUGACUGCCGUUGAGGACCUGUCCUCUAAAUGUUGGGUACCCUGGGAUAUGAAAUAACAGGGAAUUAUUCAGGUGUGUCAAAGAUUGCACGUGCGAUGUUGAACGAAGCGCAGCCCACCUCUACCUGUAUGAUUAGAAAACUGUACCGAGUU
Molecule: small RNA, 2268 nt
Filed under: Oryza sativa Japonica Group (Japanese rice)
Lineage: Eukaryota; Viridiplantae; Streptophyta; Magnoliopsida; Poales; Poaceae
Description: sRNA Os12g0600550
Source: RNAcentral